RNAcentral lists this unclassified non-coding RNA (610 nucleotides) under Rosettea crenulata. RNAcentral's name for it is "Dissotis crenulata partial external transcribed spacer; ETS". The record is from RNAcentral. Lineage: Eukaryota; Viridiplantae; Streptophyta; Magnoliopsida; Myrtales; Melastomataceae.
GACUACUGGCAGGAUCAACCAGGUAGCAAUCACUUUUAGACCUCAAUGCAUCCCAAGGACGAGCGCGCGGAACGGAAGGGCUCCGCGAGCUCCGAGGAAAGCACGAGGGUCGCCCGAGCGGAAGCAAAGCGCUUCGACACGUAGAUACCGCACGGCCAACGAAGGACCGCGCGAUAACAAGAGGAAUCACCGUACCCGAGAGCACGCGGACAGCAUCGACGCACCGACGCGGACGGAAACGCCCAGGAGAUGGACGACCGACCGGGAGGAGAGCGCCGACGCCCGCACGAUGUCUCCCAACGCAGGGGAUGCGGGGGAGAGACGAGGGAACCGAGACAGGGACGAGAACGAGUCCGUUUACCGCAAUCGGGUAUCUAACGCAGGAACCCACCCAUCGCCCGCGGCCGAAUCUCGGGGCGGGCGAUCAAAUGAAACGGAUACGGCCGCAGCAGUUCGGCGCCCGUAGCACGGAGCCUGCCGCGGGAACAUAUCCCGUAUGCCACUCAUGCGUCGUCCCAACGCUGCACGAGAGAACGCCCAACGACCCGACGCCGCCUCCCGAAGGAGGAGGCGCCGGACGACCGGGACGAGCCACGAGCAAGCCUGCUAG